AUACUUACCUUGUACAGGAGUAAACCGUGAUCAUCAAGGUGGUUCUCCCAAAGUGAGGCCCUUCCAUUGCACUCCGGUUGGGUUGACCUUUGCGAUCGCUCCAAAUGUGGGCGACUCGGGUACGUUAUUUCUAAGUGUGGGGUCUGCGUUCGCGCUCACCCCGU
This 164-nucleotide small nuclear RNA is filed under the name Octopus vulgaris (common octopus). Its description in RNAcentral is "U1 spliceosomal RNA". It matches the Rfam family "U1 spliceosomal RNA". From Rfam's summary of the family: U1 is a small nuclear RNA (snRNA) component of the spliceosome (involved in pre-mRNA splicing). Its 5' end forms complementary base pairs with the 5' splice junction, thus defining the 5' donor site of an intron. RNAcentral also lists the same sequence under 1 other name. The record is from Rfam by way of RNAcentral. Lineage: Eukaryota; Metazoa; Mollusca; Cephalopoda; Octopoda; Octopodidae.